RNAcentral lists this long non-coding RNA (4274 nucleotides) under Oncorhynchus mykiss (rainbow trout). RNAcentral describes it as "lncRNA (ENSOMYG00000054469.1)". The record is from RNAcentral. Lineage: Eukaryota; Metazoa; Chordata; Actinopteri; Salmoniformes; Salmonidae.
CAACCGCAUCAGACGCCAUGUUGGAAGACCAAAGUCAGUCUGUUGGAAGCCCUUCAACUGUUCACAUGGCUGGCUGGGUUGUGCUACCACUGGAAACAUUGACCAUUAUAGUAAUUCAUUUUUCUAAGGACCCAGAAAACGGAGGCAGUGGGAGAACCUAUUCUACUCAGGUACAGAGAGACUUAAAAAACCCUGUCUGCAGAUGAAGAGGUCCCAAUGACUGUCCGAGAGAAUGAGGGUACAUCCUUCUAUACCAUGGAUUAUAAGUGUACCUAUCUGGGAGAGCUUUGUGCAAUCUGGUGCCUCUACUCUUUCAAACUGCACAUUACACCACAAUGGGGUUGAAGACCGUGCCACCACCAUUGCCUUGCACAUGGGUACUGCAGUCAUGCCCACUGAUGAAAUGCUUGUGAGAAAGCCAAGGACAUCAGGCAGGAGUGGCAUAAAAAACACUCUUUACCAAGGAAUCCCUGGGACCCUUCCUGACAUGACAGUGCUGUCUGCUGGACCAAGUUUGAGGAGCAUGAGACCACAGCCUGUCAUUGCCAAGGUGUUGCAUGGAUUGGAAGAAAUGACUCUCAAUUUGGUCCAGUGCUGUCAUAUUAGUGUCCCCUUACUGUCACCAGAGAUUCUAAUGCAUUCAGAUGCUCCUGCUUUCCCCCAACUCCCAGUAAAAUAAACAGUCAUUUAAACUUUGUCCCUACUUGCACUCAGUUUUACCACAUGGAGAGCUUAAAGGAGCCACCAUCAUUGUCAUCUACUAUUGAGAAUGGCACAGUCGAGCAGUCUGCCCAUCCACUAUGGAAGAAAUUAGGAAACCACGUGUGACUGCUACCCAGUUUAGUGAGGCAUGCCACUUGCGUGGGGUGUCAUCUCGCCAUGCCCUAGCCAUGAGAAUGCUUAAAAGUGAGCGGCAAACCGAAGCUAUGAGAAAGGGGUUUGAGCCAGAGGUUCUAUAGAACUACUCUGAAUUGUUUAAUGUCUCGGUCAAACCUUGUGAUUUCAUUGUGAACCCAGAUGCACCCUAUCUUGGGGCAUACCCUGACGGGAAAGUUUAUGACCCUUCUGCAGCGCCACCCUUCAGGCUAGCCGAGAUCAAGUGCCCUGAUGUUGAGUGUAACUGAUGCGAAGCACAUUAAGUUUGUCAAUGGCCCGGCCAAGCUCAAUCACAGCCACAAAUAUCACUGGCAAGUCCAGGGCCAACUGGCUGUAACCGGUUUAGAUUGAUGCGACUUUGUUACAAGCACUAGAAGUGAUAUUACAGUAGAGAGAGUUGAGAGAUGAUGCUUUGAUAGCAGAGAUGAGAGAAACUUGACUACUUCUACACCUACAUGGAUGUGUACUUUAAGAUGUAGUGUAGCAGGUGAGCCAAUCCCACUUGGCAGGCCACUGUAACAUUGUUGCCCAAGGCAAUGUACAUGUAAUGUAUUUAACUAAUCAAAAUUGUAUGUAGAGUAAAUUAUUUGAAUGAAUGAAUUGUGUGAUCUUGUUUGUCUAUCACAUGUGGCUCAGUUGGUUGAACAUGACGUUUGCAAUGCUAGGGUUGUGGGUUUGAUUCCCACAGGGGGACCAGUACGUCGUGAAAGAAUGAAAAUGUAUGCACUCACUACUGGAAGUCACUGGAUAAGAGCAUCUGCUAAAUGACUAAAAUGUAAAUGUAAGCAAUUAUUCAACUAAUUGAAUUGUUUGUUAUUUUAUGACCGGCUUAAUAUAACAGGUCACUGAAUGAAUAAUCAAAUGUAUUUAUUGAAUAAAAUCUUUAAAUUAAAAAAGGAUGUUCUCUAAUAGAUUAAUGAAUUAUGCAAACACUAAACCCCAAAACACCCAUCUUAUUCAUAAAAACGACAUAUUCAAUAUACAAAUUUUCCCAAAUUCAUGUCUUGUCUAAUAGAUCAAUUUAUAAUAAUCACAAAAAAACACAUGUACAUGUAGGUAUAAAGCUGUUAUUUAUAAUAACCAAAUUAAUUGAACUUAAAUCAAUCAUUGAUUUGUAUUGUGUGUUUGCACUGCCUUGCUUGAGCAUAUUUUCACACUUGCUUAUCACCCUUGAGAUCCAGAGGGCCCUGGUAGUUCAUUAAGCAGCAGUUCGUCCACAGUUGACAGAGCCUGCCAGAAUGAGUGGGAUAAUCAUGUCCCAGAUAUGGUACUUCUUCACCCUCCUAAUGACUCUCCACUAGCACUCUCAGAUGCGAAAUAGCUUGCGUUCACUCAGUGUCCUUCCAUGUUAGCAGUUUCUCUUUUGAUUGGGGGAAUGAUGAGUGUUGCCCCCACAUCUGACUGCAUCCUAUCUAUGAUGUACCCCUUGUCUGCUAUGCAUCCAUCACCAGGCUCAAACAGCUUGGGGAUUCCAGAGAGACACGUGAUCUCCUGAUCAGAGAUGGAUCCAGUGAUAAGCUUGGUGCAAUCCAAAUCAGGCCCUUAAUAAAGGUGGUGUGGUUUUUGUAAGAUGAAAAAGUCUCUGACUGUAAUGUCAGAGAGGAGAGGUUGGCACAUCUCAGCUCUGUGCAGUCCAUGAUAACUCUGACCUCUGGACAGAACACCUUGUACUUGUCAGGCAUGGUAUCCUGCACCUGCUUCCUGGACAUCCAAAUGGGCACAGAGCCCAAGACAAGAUAUAGAUCCAGGUUAUUUUAACGCAGCUCACUGUAGGGACACUCACACCAAAGAUGUCCGCCAAAACCUCCUUCAACCCAGCUGCUACUCGACGGCAGUAAAGCACUGUAGGGACACUCACACUAAAGAUGUCCGCCAACACCUCCUUCAGCCCAGCUGCUACUCGACAGCAGUAAAGAAAAAAACUUGCCAAUGAGUGGCAGCUUUCUGUUGGGGCUUGGUGAUGCGCUUCCCAUUCCAGCCUUCUGGGCCUAGAUUAACCUGGAGGCAGAGGGGGCAAUGGACUCCCAGAACACCAUGAAGACCUCUGAGUGGAACCGGGUAUAGAACCUGAAGUCCUCAUUGGGUGCACAGAAUCUUUGGAGCUGGAGAUGGUGAACAGAGAGCUGUUGGACUUGGGGCUUUAGCUCCUUGAUUCAAUCCAGUGCAGCAUCCAACAUACCUAUAGAAAAGAAAGGGGUAAUUUAUGUGGCAAAAUUGUGCUAUUAUUCAGUUUGAUUCUCAGUAUCAUGACACAGUAAACCAUCUCUUACUUAGUUUAGGUCUCAGGACAUAUGUAAUCAAUCAAGUAUGUUAUGGUAGUGCUAAGAAAUGUUGGUUCAAGGAACUAAUGGGAGGGUGGCUUAAGUUGGAGAGCAGAGUGGGAAAACAGAGAGCAUGCAAGCUGGCUAGCGAGUUAAUAGUUUUGUUAUUGUUAUUUCAAAAGCUGAUUAUAAGUAAUGCAAUACCUGAACUAUAGCAACGGUUUGCAAAACUAUAACUUGCAGGAUAAUUUCUACAAUCCACUUUGAGAGAGGCUUUCCCUGUAUCUACAAAGCACACAAACAGCUGAUCAGAGUGACGGAUCACCUGAUUCCGCUCCAUGUACUUGUUUAGGGAUCUCACAGGACACAGAGUGCGUACAUCAACAUGAGCCCCAGGGGGCAUGGAGGUGGAUAAGGCUGUUAGCACCAUUUCCCUGUUCACAUGACCUGGGGGCAGGACCUUUGGUAGGAAGGCGGGAUUAGGCCGCAGGGUAACGCUCGCCUUACCCGGCCCUAGCCGAUAACACUCAUUAUUAAUAGGCAAAGCAUGGAGCUUGCCAACCCUAUUGGUAGAGGCGAUGGCCACCAGAAAUGCUGUCUUAAGAGAGAGAUGUUUCAAGUCUUUUGGUUGGAAGGGAGGUCUGGAUAGUACUCCAAGAACCAGAUUCAAAUCACAUUUGGGAACUGAGGGGGCUCUUGAGGGGCGUAAUCGACGGGACUACCUUAAGAAACCUGGCCAUGAGCGGGUGGCUGCCAAGCGGCCCAUCCUACUCUUCAUCAUGACAUGCUGAUAUGGCUGCUACAUAUACCUUAAGUGUGGAUAAAGCCCUGCCAGCAUCAAACAAAGACCUCAAGAGCUGGAACAAAGAUCCUAUGCCGCAAGAUUCUGCCUCAACCCCCUGCUCCGCACACCACUGGCAGGACCCGUCACCUCGUGUCAUAGGUUGACGUGGUGGAGGGGGCCCUGUCACUCUGUAAGAUGUUAACAACAGAGGGCUCAAGAUCUAAAUUAGACAAUUUUCGUUCCCUCCGCCCUCCACAAUGUGCCCUCCGCCUGUGACAAUAGGCCCGGCCUCCGAGGUAGUUCCAAUGCUGUCCCCACUAGGAGUGACAGUAUUGUGCUGAACCAGUGGCAUC